GGUCCACUACCUCGUAUACAUUCGACCUUUGUGCUGUCAUUAAAUGUAAAGGUUUAAACAGUUCAUGGCGGGGAUAUGAUGUCUGGGUAGGUUAUAAUCCAAUGGUAGAUAUAGAGUGUAAUAAUCAGAAGCUUGUGUGGCAGGAUGAAUGUUAUCCCUCAGUCCAACCCACUUUCAGCCUGGCGCAUUAGGGGGCGCUAGUAUAAAUAGUGGCCAUUCGAGUGUCCCUGGAUCGCUUGCCUGUGACCUCCUUUUUGGUCACCUGACUUCCUGUUGGUGUUGCUGAGAUUAGUUGCGGGUUACUUUUUUGAAGCCUCCAUCGCAGCUGGUCGUAGCUGUAGAAGCCUCCUCUGAGCCAUUCUGCUUACGUUUUAUGACACGGCUUACUUGGUACGUAAUCAACUUCUGUUACGCUCUCUGCCUUCUGUUGUUCUUUUAUAGUAAUUAUUUAUUAUGCUUUGCAGGAAGUGUGGGCCUUAGUUUUGCGCCAAGCUACGCAAACUGAAGGGCUGCUGCUUUGCUUUGCUGUGCUUUUACCGUCUGUUCCCGUUGCGAGAUUUCUUUUCCUGCUGCUGCCAGCUUUUACUGUGGACGUCGGCGUGGACAGCGGCCAUAUGCCCGCCGGUUAUGGGAGUCAGCUGGCGUGCAUAUUGAUUGACCGUUAACUUGUAGUCGUGCAGACGGCAAGUUGGAGCAAUACGGUGAUUCCGUUUGCUCCAGAUUUUAGAGUUUUAUCCAGAUUGUAUGUUGUUUUACUGUUGUUUGUUUUGUAGUUUGGAUUUUUGUUACGCCACUGGUGGGAGGCCCUUUUUCUAGCUGUAGAUCACCAGUGUGGUCCUGCAGUUGGGUUAUCCCCCAGCGCUACACAUUAGUUUGUUGUGAUAUAUUAAAAUUUUCUUUGUUUCUUUUAUUCAGAUGCGGAGCGCCGACGUGGAGGAGACUAGGGUGCCUUGGUGGUGGGAUCCUUUGCGUGUACACACCUGCCUUGUUUAGUUUAUUAGUGUGUGUGUGUGUGUGUGUGUGUGUGUGUGUGUGUGUGUGUGAUAGUGUGCUGCACUUGUGUCUUGGUGUGUUUUCUUUUUUAGUUUGUGUGUGGCAUCCCUGCCCCUCCACUGGUAAGCCUCAGCUCUGAAUACCUUUUUAAGCAUAUUUGUAUAUGAAUAUUUAUGAUUGUGCUUUUAUAUGGUGUUUUAAAUAAUUAUUAAUAAAUUGUUAAUUUGUUUAUCAUUGAACCUCGUCUCUGUACUGAGUAUAGCGAACCUAAGUGCCUUUUUGGUGAUUUACUGUUACUUCCAGUAUUCUCUGGGUGAAAUUCCCAGGGUGGCGUUGUCUUUUUAAAACUGUGAAGAGUAUUUACUUUAUUUCCACCUCGUGCUGCCACACUUGGCUACCCCUAUCACGCUUAUUGGAAGGGCCCGUGUGAGUACUGGUCUACCAUAGUGGAGUAUUCUGGCACGUGGCGCCCGUACAAGGACACCACGUGGCAGAAGCUUGGGUUUCAGCGGGACUUCUCAGCUGGGCAGAACCCGUUGACCCUCUCACUGAAUGGUUGGCGUGACACUGUGUGGCCCGCUCGAUCCAUGGUGUACUUAUUCAUAGGAGUAGACGUCUUAGGGAAGGACCCAUACGGUCUGGUUAAAAUUAACUUUAGAGAUUCUGCACCUGAUGUGGCUGAAAUAAUUAACACCUCCCCCACCAUUGUCACUUUCAGAAUAGGGCUCACAAAUACUUGAGGUAGAUUAUACAAGACUCAAAGCUAAACAGCUCAUUUCAAUGGCCACUGGCUAUCGUGAGAGCAAUUUAUGGCUAGACUGGCUCAUCCAAAAUGCUAGGGAACAGAAUGUUUCAGAUUGUGUGGCGUGCGCACCUGCCCGCCCACGUCUUUUCACAGAACCAGCUCCUUUAUAUCCCGAAGACCAGUGGGGAUUUGAGUGCAUGCUCAGACUUACCAGAGAAGCGGCUUCUGAAGGUAAUUGUACUAUGUUAGCAAGUUUGUCUCCACCAAUAGGUAAUGAUACUGUGCUUGGUCUUUUCACACUGAGAAGAGCCAACUACACGUGUUUCGACUCUACGGUGUUUUUCCCUGACAAACAUGAGCAUGAGGCCGGGGAGAUUAAUGCUGAUUGGUGCACUGUUACGUACCUGGUCAGAGGAAAGCUGUCAAGAGACACCGGCACUGAAAUAGGCCUGUGGGCACGUGCUGGUUCGUAUUAUUAUUGUGGUGGGUACAGAUUGUAUGUUAGAAUUCCUAGUGGGACUUUUGGUCUCUGUGCCAUGGUACGUAUAGGUGCACCUCUCGUUUUAGUAGGAGAAAAGGGGAUGCGGCUGGCUAAGCCCGGCACCGCUCAACUGACAGCCACGUGCAGACGUCAUGUGUUGGCUAAACAGUCAUCAGGAUCGUUUGACCUUACAAUAGGAUCACCAACAUAUAUAGAUGCUAUUGGGGUUCCUAGGAGUGUGCCUAAAUGAAUUUAAGGUAGCAGACCAAAUUGCUGAAGGAUUUGAAAAGCUUCCCAUAAUUUCUGCAUUCUUUCCAGUAACUCCAAAUAAGAAUGUGGAUUGUAUCAAUUAUGUGCACUAUAAUGUAAUGAGACUGGCGAACUUUACCAGGGACGCGGUUGAAGGGCCUGCUGAUCAGUUGGGUCCAACAUCUUUAAUGGCAGUACAAAUCGGAUGGCGUUAGAUAUGUUGUUGGGAGAAAAAGGGGGCGUUUGCGCGAUGUUUGGGGAUAUGUAUUGUACUUUUAUUUUAAAUAACACAGCUCCAGGCAGCUCUGUGACCCGAACUCUGGAAGGCCUAAAGACGUUGUCCACCACGAUGUAUGAGCAUUCGGGAGUGGAUAACCUGUUGGAAGCGUGGAUGACCUCUGUCUUUGGGCAAUGGAAAGGUUUCAUUAUGUUAAUUAUGGUUUCUUUGUCUGUUUUUACUGCAGUAUUAGCGACGUGUGGGUGUCGUUGUGUGCCUUGUAUCAGAGCCUUGUUCGUAAGACUCAUCAAUCGUGCUGUGGGAGAAUCUGAUACAAAGGCAGACACCAUGUUGCCACUUUUGGGAAAUGGGGAGUCACAGUAUGAAAACAUUAUGGUGAAAGAUUUAGUGUAGUUUUAUCUGCCAUGGGGCAGAUAAAAAGGUGGAUUUGUAGGAAUGUUUAGCUUAUUUUAGAGUUUAGACAUGUGUUAAGAUAGAAUGUAGAAUUAUUGUAGAGACACUGACACUGCCCUCAAUAUAAUAAAGGCCUGAUUGUGUCGUGAGCUUAGAAGUAGAUUUGUAACUGGAUAACUGUGGUCUGGAGGGGAGAUGGUAUUUAUGGCCCCUAGGAAGAGACAUACCCACAGUGCUUAACUGAUAUACUCCCACACCUAUAUCCACACUCACUCACGUGCACGCACAUACCAGGUAUGCACACACAGUCACUCACGAGCACUCACAUAGACACGCGGGUACGCGCACACACAGUCAUUCACGUGCUCGUGCACAUAGACACAGA
Long non-coding RNA from Oreochromis niloticus (Nile tilapia), 3484 nucleotides. RefSeq lists it as uncharacterized. The record is from RefSeq and is a predicted model, not a curated record. The transcript is spliced from 3 exons. NCBI's taxonomy places the organism in Eukaryota, Metazoa, Chordata, Actinopteri, Cichliformes, Cichlidae.